Molecule: long non-coding RNA, 6363 nt
Filed under: Lactuca sativa (garden lettuce)
Lineage: Eukaryota; Viridiplantae; Streptophyta; Magnoliopsida; Asterales; Asteraceae
Description: long non-coding RNA (LSAT_LNC003482)
Source: RNAcentral
UAUCCCAGGAAAAUCCCAUAUUUUCCUAUGUGUUGAGUUGUCUAUUCGUUUCUAAAUUCGUUACGAGUUGUUAUGUUAUCCCAGGAAAAUCCCAUAUUUUCCAAAGUAUUGUGAUUAGUUCUUAGUUUAGUUUUCAAUGUACUAGUAAUUACCAUACUUAUAGCAUUAGUUAAGUAGUCUGAUAUCUUAGUUAACCUACAUUCGAAUAUUGAUUACCUACUAUACUUAGUUGUAUUUUCGAAUAUUUGGAUUCACUCAGAAACGUAGAUUAACAGUAUUUUCGAUGUUCUGGUGAUUUCCAAAAGAGUACAUUAGAUGUAUUUUUGAAUCUCUGGCGACAUUCUAAGGCGGAUGUAUUCGAAACUCAGUAGAGGUCCAGAGGCGUACUUUCGAAUUAAAUUCGAAACUCUGGUGACACUCAAGGCGUACACAAACAGUAUAUUCGAAGUCUUGGCGUCAUCCAAAGGCGUUAUUUUGUAUUCGUAAUCCUAAUUCUAUUCACAUUCGUAUUCGUAAUCCUAAUUCUAUUCGCAUUCGUAUUCGUAUUCAUAUUCGUAUUUGUACUAUUCGUAUUCGUACCGUCCUAUUGGUUAUCGUUAUAUUCGUAUUCUUAUUCGUAUUUGUACUAUUCGUAUUCGUACUAUCCUAUUGGUUAUCUUUGUAUUCAUAUUCGUAUUCGUAUUCGUACUAUCCUAUUGGUUAUCUUUGUAUUCAUAUUCGUAUUCGUAUUCGUACUAUCCUAUUGGUUAUCUUUAUAUUCGUGUUCGUAUUCGUAUUCGUACUAUCCUAUUGGGUAUAUUCGUAUUCGUAUUAGUUUAUGAUUAGUAUGAUUUCUUUUGCAAAAUGUAAUAUAGUUAUAACACUUUUUAAAGAAAUCUGUAUUUAGUCUAACAGUUUACCCUGCAAGUCGAACCAUUAGUUAUCACAAUUUUCGAUAUUAGAAACAUACAUAAAUAAAACAUUUGAGCUGAAAAUCAGUUUAAGUACAAGAUUUCCUUGUACUUUUGCUUGUAUUCCCCCCUGAAAACAUUUGAAAAACACGGAAAAAGGGUAGGGGUAUGAACUCACCGGUUGAGGAAUGCGUUGGUUUGGAUUCGAAACGUCAGUUCUAGGUUUGAAAACGCACAAGAUUCCUAUGUAUGAUGAAAAGAUACAAAUUUGUAUCUAAUUAGGACUUGAAUAAUUUAUUUGAUGAGGACAUAUGCUUCUAGAUGCGAAAACACUUCAUUACAAGUGUUUGGAAGGACCCGGGUGGCAUUUGAGGACACAUAAGGCUUGGAUAUGGAGUUUACUCUUCAAGAGUAAACUCUUAAGAGUGUUUUCAGACCUAAUGACAUAUUCCCCAUGCGUUUACGGCCAUAAACUCAUGGUGGGGUACUUUUGGUUGCUAAAUGGCUUCAUAUCACUUGGAUAAAUUAGCUAGGAUCACAUCUAGGGCAUUGGAAUGGAUUUAUCUCACAUAUGGACCAUUUAUUGGAGUUUACGAAAGUAAACUUGGAGUUUACGACCGUAAACUCCCCUCACACUAAAGCCUUAAUGUUUUGGUGGUCUUUAAUUAAUCACAUGUGAUUCCAUGCUAUUUCACAAGUCUAGGGGUGAAAUUUAGGCACCAUUUGACAUGGUUUUAGGAGUUUACGGCCAAUGACUCCACCUUAUGGACGUGAACUCCUUAGGGGGUUGAUUUCUUUAUGUUUUAGGCUUCUAAGUUGUUUGUGGUUGCUUCUAGAUUUUUGUUCAAGGCUUAGGAGGUGUGUAAGUGGCAAUUUAACACCUUAGAAGGAGUUUACUCCCAUGGAGAUGAGUUUACGGCCCAAGCAAGUUUUUGGGCAGUAAAAUCAUGUUUACUCCUCUAAAUUGAUAUUCAAGGUGUUCUAAGUCCGAUUCCAUAAUUCUACAAGCCAUAUCUAAGCCUAAAUGGUGUUUUGGAAGGGUUUUAAGGCAUAAAAACCCCAUUUAUGUGUGUUUACGGCCUAAGCAUGCUCCAGGGCCGUAAACACAUGAACAAGGUCCUAAAUCAUGGUUUGAACUCGAAUUUGAAUGCUAAGGAUGAUAUACUAGGAGUUAAGGAAGAUACCUUGAUGAUUAGAAGCCUUAAUUUGAUGAUUUUGGACCCUUAGAGUUGAUUUGAGGAGAGAUGUUAGAGAGAGAGAGAGAGUAGAGAGAGAGAAAAAGCUUCAAAUGGAAGCUUAAACCCCUUUAAAUAGGUUCCAAGAUUUGGACACGGUGGAAUUCUACCCGAUACCGACGUUAAACGGGGCUUUUGGUCGCACCCGAUUAAGUUAUCGUAAUCCGGCGGGGUUGAAUUUAGAAAUUUUCACAUUAAUGAUUUUGGGCCAUUUUCAUGAGUUUCUAAGGGGUUUGGACACUCAUGAGAUUAAAAUAAACAUAUAACUUUAAAUAAUUUAGCCCAAAAAACGAAAUCGGAACGAAUCGCUAAAGACGGGUUUUAUGGGCGGAACGGGUUUCGGCAAUGGACAACUUCGGGUUCUUACAUUAUCCCCCCGUUAGAGGGAAUUUCGUCCUGAAAUUCUAAGAUUAAGAUACAGAUCAUGAAAUGAAAAGGGAUGUGGAUGGAUCUGCUGCUCCGGGUCUUCACGCUCCCAAGUGGAAUCGGGUCUCCGCUAGACAUUCCAGUGAACCCUCACUAUCGGGAUACGACUAUGUUCGCACAUUUGAUCUCUCAAUUCAUGAUCUCAAUUGUUCUUCCAUGGGGGUUCAGACUUUCGUUGACUUCGGUCUCACCAAAGGAAUUACUAGGGUUUCAUUGGGUAAGCGUUUCUAAGGAUUCGAGACGUGGAUGACAGAAUGGAUACUGCUAUUCCCCUGAGAUAGUUGAAGUCUGUAGUUCUCGAUUCCGAUUAUGGUGGGGAUUUCAAAAAGUCCGAUGUAUCACGGGUGAAGUAUUUCGCGCUUCCCAAAGCAUAUCAUGCUUUUCUGGGAUAAGGUUUUCAAUAGGACUCAAGCUCCAGCAAGAAGGCACAUCCUCACGGAGGUUCGGCUACGAGGUAGUUUCCAGGGAUUAGGUUGAUACGAGGCUUGACUAGACGUUCGGAAGGAAUUCUCGGAGAUCUUCGGGAAAAGCAUCGGGGAAAGAGUUUCAGACUUCCCGUUUCCCGAUGAUCACACGGACAAGGAAUGCAUGAGAAAACUUUUUAAGCUUUGAUGCACGAUGAUGUGAAGGUUGGAUUUAGGUUUGAUGUCGAAGAUCAUGAGAGCCGGGUCAGAGGGAAGAUUCAGAAGAACGACCCAAGAAUAACAGCAUGAAUGAGACUCGGUCAUUACAUGCCAAAGAUCGCAUCAAAACUUUUCAUGAAAAGUUUACCAUUAGAUCGAAUGGAAGGAAUAAUCGUCCGAAUUGAGGAUACGAUCUAUGGGUAUGACGUUAUCAUUCUCUUUCUCACUCGUUAGCCAUCUUGACGGUAUACGUUUCGGUUACUAACGAAGGACUAAGUUUAGAAAGGUGAUUGAAUGAAUAGUUAGCAAAUUUUCUUUCGGCAUUAGAAUUGAAAAGGAUCACAGGCAUAAGAUUCAUCGAAGAGAAAUAUACCUGUGGCAACGGUGGGGUCUGCGGCUGUCCUUUCUUGUCCCAUAGUUAAGACUCUCCCAGUGUUGCGAGAUGUUACUGCCUUAGGGCAGUUUUGCUUAUAAUGUCCAACUUCUCCACAACUGUAACAGGUCUGGCCGAUACCAGCUCCAGAAGCUUGACUGGUUGAUUGGAUUGGAGUUUUGCAGCUUCGCGCGAGGUGACCUUCCUGGCCACAGCUUUUACAAAACUUUGCACGACAAGGGCCAGGGAUACGAUGGUGGUAACUGCAUUGGUUACACCACGGGAGGAUACCGGCAUAUUCGGUGACAAGUGCUUGGGAUGAGGAACCGACAAUAGAAACAGCAGCAGGGGUAGUAGCAGCGUGGACUGCCACUAUUUUCUGUUUCUCUGAGGGCUGCGGGGAAGACUAACUCUUCUUCUUCUUCUUCCAAAACUUUCUUUUCUCGCCACUCUUCUCUGUUGGCUCAGGAGUGGUGGCUGCUUCUUCUUGUUCAUCAAAGUGAUCGAUCAGGGUUUGCGCUAGACAUUUGGUGCUGUCAUAGGUAUCCGGCUUCGCAGCUAAAACGUUCCCUUUUGUUGGCUGGGUCAACCCCCAGAUGAACCUCCCAAUCUUUUCACUCUCCGGGGUAACCAAUCCAGGACAGAGAAGUGCCAAGUCAUCAAAUUUGGAUGCGUAGGCGGCGAUAUCGGAGCCUUUCAUCUUCAGUUUCCAGAGUUCAUUCUCCAGCUUCUGUAUUUCACCCCGAGGGCAGUAUUCUGCAAACAGAAGUUCCUUCAUAACUUCCCAACCCAUAGCAUUUGAUACAGGUAAAGUUAACGAUUUGACUCGGCCAUUCCACCAAGUCAAAGCUUUAUCUGUGAACCUGCAGGCGGCGAAUUUUACCUUGUCAGACUCUGAACAGGCACAAAUCUCGAAGAUAGAUUCGAUCUUCUCUCACCACCGAGUUAGAGCAAUGACACCCCCUGUGCCAUCGAAGAAUAUGGGUUUUGCGUUCAUAAAGUCCUUAUAGGAACACUCCUUCUGGUGUCCCUGAUUACCUUCCUGGUUUUGGGUUUGGGUACUAUCCCCUGAACCACUGGAGUUUCUGUGGGACAAGACGGCUGCCACCGCGGCGGCAACAGUUGCCUGGAACACGAUAGGAUCAAAUUGGGGAGGAGGAGGUGGUGGCGGAGGGUUGUUAUUCUUUGAUCUGGGUCUUUUCCUCGGAGGCAUCUUGAUCUAAAAUAACUAGGAAAGAGAGGAUCAUAAGUCCUCUGAAUUGAAUCAAGAGAUAUGGAACAGGGGAUAUCUCAUUAAGACAGAUAUUCUGUUAAGCGAUAAAACAGGAAAGGGUUAUCAAAACAGAUAAUUUAUCGCUAAAGGAAUGAUCAAGAAACAACGCUCGAAUGAUGAUUUCUACAACGAAUUAGCUCGAGAAAUACUCCCAUAGUAUUUCAUGAUUCGCUGCAACGACGACUCGUUGUUUGGGGUAUUGGGUAAGUUUUAGGUAUGCUGCGUACCACAGUCACUCCCAAGCACAUGUUGGCCGUGUCUCGAAUGAAUAUAGUUGGCCAGACUAUAUUGACCCUAGACACGAGUACAUAACUACCCAGGUUUAACCGCAGCGUACAACACCCAUUUACUUAUGUUUUGUUCUACUUGUAGUUACUGAUUUCAACGGUCAGGUAUACUUGUAUACUUUCGAAAAUACUUAUAUUUUAGGGUAUACUUUUAGUUUAGAGCACUUAGGCCCGUUAAUGUUUAUAGUCUUAUACCACGUAAGCUUUGGUAUACUAGUUCACUAUAAACAAGGGCUCUGAUACCAAUCUGUCACACCCCGAAAACCAAAGGCGGAAACACUUCCGGGGCGGACUCCUCGUUGAGUAUCAAAUCCAAUGUACAUAGUAAAACAGUAAACACAAAACAUUACAUUACAUAAAAUUGUUUACAUCUGUUUGAAAGAAAAGUUAUACAAGUGUUAUAUACAUAUAUCAUAUAAACAAAAGCAGAGACGAGUCUUCUAAUGAUCCGUCUUCUCCAAAAGAUGGCGGUGUACCUGUCUAAUGCUGACCUGAGAAUACAAGCAGUUUGAAAAUCAGCAUAAAGCUGGUGAGUUCAUAAGCAGUUUAGUUUUGAAACGAACGAGUUUCCUUUGUUUUCUGAAAAAGUUGUUAGUCAAGAAAAUCCCAUAUUUUCUUAUGUAAAACAGUUUAGUUAUCAUUUGUUACCAAUUCGAUUACGUGUUGUAUGUUACCCUAGGAAAAUCCCAUAUUUUCCUAAUAGUUUAGUUAUUCAUUUGUUACUUCAUUCGAUUAUGAGUUGUUAUGCUAUCCCAGGAAAAUCCCAUAUUUUCCUAUGUGUUGAGUUGUCUAUUCGUUUCUAAAUUCGUUACGAGUUGUUAUGUUAUCCCAGGAAAAUCCCAUAUUUUCCAAAGUAUUGUGAUUAGUUCUUAGUUUAGUUUUCAAUGUACUAGUAACUACCAUACUUAUAGCAUUAGUUAAGUAGUCUGAUAUCUUAGUUAACCUACAUUCGAAUAUUGAUUACCUACUAUACUUAGUUGUAUUUUUGAAUAUUUGGAUUCACUCAGAAACGUAGAUUAACAGUAUUUUCGAUGUUCUGGUGAUUUCCAAAAGAGUACAUUAGAUGUAUUUUUGAAUCUCUGGCGACAUUCUAAGGCGGAUGUAUUCGAAACUCAGUAGAGGUCCAGAGGCGUACUUUCGAAUUAAAUUCGAAACUCUGGUGACACUCAAGGCGUACACAAACAGUAUAUUCGAAGUCUUGGCGUCAUCCAAAGGCGUUAUUUCGUAUUUGUAAUGCAAAUUCUAUUCGCAUUCGU